ACUGAACAAAUAUGUAUUGAACCAGUGCAGGGUCUACAGUAGGUGCUCAACAUACACAAGAGGAUGUGAAUGACGUGGAGAAAGGAAGUACAGAUAUUCCACUGAGGUUGAGAAGCUCCUGUAAAUACUAAAAACAGCAUCACCGGGGUGCGAGGUUCUAGCAAGAUUAAUAACCUUUACGCCCAAAUUCAGACGUGGCCAACUGCAUCUGGGCUGUGGGAAACUGGAAUCUGGGAACUUGACCCUGUUUGCAGCAGGCGGGAGGAGCACAGGGGAGGUGUGUGAGUGUGUGUGUCUCUUCCCCGCUUCAGCCACAGGCCGCAGGAGCUGACAAGGCCAAGUCCCCGCCCCCCUCAGCUGUCACCCUGUCAAAACAAAGCCGCUGCUGACAGCGCAGGGCCAGCCUGCCCCGCGGCCUCGGGCAGUGCUCCCACCCCAGGAGCACGGCGCCCACAUCUGGAUCCGCAUUUAAGGGGCGACGGGGUGCCCGGAGCUGGGGUGGAGAGAGGAUGGCCAGAAACGCGCGUCCUCAAACUAAGCAGUAGCGCCCGCCGCGCUGGGCCGUCACCUUGCCAAAUCCUGUUUACACCCCGAGAGGCUGGGGCAGCGUUUCAACUAAACAAAUACUUCUCCGUCCACCUUCUCUCUUUUAAUUGAGAACGCUUUCAUCCUGUAAUCAAUUUCUGGAUUGCAUCUGCCAGAAGAAGGAAAAGACUGUUAAUCGAUAUUUUCUGUAAUUUUUGUUUGAAAGUGCUGGUUGUUAAAAGAACUGUCGUCCCAAAAGCAGGGUCACAAUGAAAACUAAGCGCAGUGGGAAAAGUUUGCUAAUAGGUCUCAUCUCUGCAGAGUGGGAGUAUAACCUCACUACUUUCUUUUCUAUAAUGUGCCAUAGUUUUCAAUUUUGAUAUCACCAGCAUGCAUAUUAACCAUGAAAAAAAAUUAAGCAGCAUCCAAAAGAAUGUGUUGAUUUUGGCCUCAAACUUCAAAAAAAAAAAAAGGAAAAAACUCGA
Long non-coding RNA from Aethalodelphis obliquidens (Pacific white-sided dolphin), 1010 nucleotides. RefSeq lists it as uncharacterized. The transcript has 2 exons. Lineage: Eukaryota; Metazoa; Chordata; Mammalia; Artiodactyla; Delphinidae. The record is from RefSeq and is a predicted model, not a curated record.